GCCUUCGUGGCUUAGCGGUAGAGCGACUGCCUCGUAAGCAGUAGGUCCUGGGUUCAAUUCCCAGCGAAGGCC
This 72-nucleotide transfer RNA is filed under the name Candidatus Woesearchaeota archaeon. RNAcentral's name for it is "tRNA-Thr". It matches the Rfam family "tRNA". Rfam says of the family: Transfer RNA (tRNA) molecules are approximately 80 nucleotides in length. Their secondary structure includes four short double-helical elements and three loops (D, anti-codon, and T loops). RNAcentral also lists the same sequence under 1 other name. The record is from RNAcentral. Lineage: Archaea; Nanobdellati; Candidatus Woesearchaeota.